This 2575-nucleotide ribosomal RNA is filed under the name secondary endosymbiont of Calophya schini. RNAcentral describes it as "bacterial LSU rRNA". It matches the Rfam family "Bacterial large subunit ribosomal RNA", at positions 1 to 2581 of the family's 2925-position model. The record is from RNAcentral. Lineage: Bacteria; Pseudomonadati; Pseudomonadota; Gammaproteobacteria; Enterobacterales; Enterobacteriaceae.
AGUUAAGUGAAUAAGCGUAUAUGGUGGAUGCCUAGGCAGUCAAAGGCGAUGAAGGACGUAUUAAUCUGCGAUAAGCAUCGGCUAGCUGAAUAAAAAGCGAUAUUAACCGGUGAUUUCCGAAUGGGGAAACCCGAUGUAAUUUUUUUACAUCAUCGUUAAAUGAAUAUAUAGUUUAACGAAGCAAACCAAGGGAAUUGAAACAUCUUAGUACCUUGAGGAAAAUAAAUCAAAAGAGAUUCCCAAAGUAGCGGCGAGCGAAAAGGGAAUAGCCUAAAAAUUUAUAAUUAAAUAUAUAUAUUAGGAAAAUAGUAUGGAAAGACUAGUAAUAUAGGGUGAUAACCCCGUAUCCGAAAAUAUAUAUAUUUAAAAAUUUAAAAAGUAAAACGGGACACGUGAUAUCUUGUUUGAAGAAGGGGGGACCAUCCUCCAAGGCUAAAUACUAAUGACUGACCGAUAGUGAACUAGUACCGUGAGGGAAAGGUGAAAAGAACCCCGGUUAGGGGAGUGAAAUAGAACCUGAAACCGUAUACGUACAAGCAGUAGGAGCAUUUAUUAUUUUAAAAUGUGACUGCGUACCUUUUGUAUAAUGGGUCAGCGACUUAUAUUCUGUAGCAAGGUUAACCAUAUAGGGGAGCCGUAGGGAAACCGAGUCUUAAAUGGGCGUUUAUAGUUGCAGGUUAUAGACCCGAAACCUGGUGAUCUAGCCAUGAGCAGGUUGAAAAUUUGUUAAAACUAAUUGGAAGACCGAACUGACUAAUGUUGAAAAAUUAGCGGAUGACUUGUGGUUAGGGGUGAAAGGCCAAUCAAACCAGGAGAUAGCUGGUUCUCCUCGAAAGCUAUUUAGGUAGCGCCUCGUAAAUUCAUCUAUGGAGGUAGAGCUCUGUUUCGACUAGGGGUCCAUACUGGAUUACCAAAUCGAUGCAAACUUCAAAUACUAUAGAAUGUUAUUACGGGAGACACACAACGGGUGCUAACGUCCGUUGUGAAAAGGGAAACAACCCAGAUCGUCAUCUAAGGUCCCUAAAUUAUAAUUAAGUGGGAAACGAUGUAAAUAAUCUUAGACAUCCAGGAUGUUGGCUUAGAAGCAGCCAUCAUUUAAAGAAAGCGUAAUAGCUCACUGGUCGAGUUUGUUUGCGCGGAAAAUGUAACGGGGCUAAAAUUAUAUACCGAAGAUACGACAAUAACAAUUAAAUGUUAUUGGGUAGAGGAGCGUUCUGUAAGCCUGUGAAGGAAAUUUGUAAAAAUUUCUGGAGGUAUCAGAAGUGCGAAUGCUGACAUAAGUAACGAUAAAACAAGUGAAAAACUUGUUCGCCGAAAGGCUAAGGUUUCCUGUUCAACGUUAAUCGGAGCAGGGUGAGUCGAUACCUAAGAUGAGGCCGAUAGGCGUAGUCGAUGGUAAACAGGUUAAUAUUCCUGUACUAAAUGUAAUUGCGAUGAGGGGACGAAGUAAGCUAGGUUCGCCAAGUGAUGGUUAUCUUGGUUCAAACGUGUGAUAAAAAAAUAGGGAAAUCCGUUUUUUAUAAUAUAAGGCGUGUUAACGAGCUAUUUUUAGUGAAGGAAUUGAAGCUAUUCUUCCAAGAAAAGCCUCUAAGCUAUAGAUUACAAUUUAAUCGUACUAUAAACCGACACAGGUGGUCAAGUAGAGAAUACUAAGGCGUUUGAGAGAACUCAGGUGAAGGAACUAGGCAAAAUGGUGCCGUAACUUCGGGAGAAGGCACACUAACAUGUAAGUGAAAAGAUAUAUCUCUAUUAGCUGAAGUUAGUCUCAGAAAAUAGCUAGCUGCAACUGUUUAUUAAAAACACAGCACUGUGCAAACACGUAAGUGGAAGUAUACGGUGUGACGCCUGCCCGGUGCCGGAAGGUUAAUUGAUAAGGUUAACUAUGUUUUUAUGGUGAAGCUUUUGAUUGAAGCCCCGGUAAACGGCGGCCGUAACUAUAACGGUCCUAAGGUAGCGAAAUUCCUUGUCGGGUAAGUUCCGACCUGCACGAAUGGCGUAAUGAUGGCCACGCUGUCUCCAUUUAGAACUCAGUGAAAUUGAAUUUGCUGUGAAGAUGCAGUGUAUCUACGGCUAGACGGAAAGACCCCGUGAACCUUUACUAUAACUUCACAUUGAAUAUUGGUAAUUUUUGCGUAGGAUAGCUGGGAGAUUUUGAUACAUAAAUUUAGGUUUAUGAGUAGUCAACCUUGAAAUACCAGUCUAAAAUUUUUGAUAUUCUAAUAUAUUUUGUAAUCCAUUAUAUAAAAAAUGUGUGGUUGGUAGUUUGACUGGGGCGGUCUCCUCCUAAAAAGUAACGGAGGAGUGCAAAGGUACUCUCAAUACGUUUGGAAAACGUAUGUUGAGCAUAAGAGCAUAUGAGUGCUUAACUGUAAGAUAGACAUAUCAAACAGAUACGAAAGUAGGCUCUAGUGAUCCGAUAAUUCUGAAUGGAAAGACUAUCGCUUAACGGAUAAAAGGUACUCCGGGGAUAACAGGCUAAUACUGCCCAAGAGUCCAUAUCGACGGCAGUGUUUGGCACCUCGAUGUCGGCUCAUCACAUCCUGGGGCCGGAGUUGGUCCCAAGGGUAUGGCUGUU